Molecule: ribosomal RNA, 43 nt
Filed under: Inocybe soluta
Lineage: Eukaryota; Fungi; Basidiomycota; Agaricomycetes; Agaricales; Inocybaceae
Description: partial 18S ribosomal RNA
Rfam family: Eukaryotic small subunit ribosomal RNA
Source: RNAcentral
UCGUAACAAUGUUUCCGUAGGUGAACCUGCGGAAGGAUCAUUA